GUGAGGAAUAUUGGUCAAUGGGCGGGAGCCUGAACCAGCCAAAUCGCGUGAAGGAAGAAGGAUCUAUGGUUCGUAAACUUCUUUUGCAGGGGAAUAAAGUGCAGGACGUGUCCUGUUUUGUAUGUACCCUGAGAAUAAGGAUCGGCUAACUCCGUGCCAGCAGCCGCGGUAAUACGGAGGAUCCGAGCGUUAUCCGGAUUUAUUGGGUUUAAAGGGUGCGUAGGUGGUUUGAUAAGUCCGCGGGGAAAGUUUGCAGGUUAACUGUAAAAAUGCCGUUGAAACUGUCGGACUUGAGUGUAAAUGAGGUAGGCGGAAUGCGUGGUGAAGCGGUGAAAUGCAUAGAUAUCACGCAGAACUCCGAUUGCGAAGGCAGCUUACUAAGCUACAACUGACACUGAAGCACGAAAGCAUGGGGAGCAAACAGGAUUAGAUACCCUAGUAGUCC
This 445-nucleotide ribosomal RNA is filed under the name uncultured bacterium. RNAcentral's name for it is "partial 16S ribosomal RNA". It matches the Rfam family "Bacterial small subunit ribosomal RNA", at positions 354 to 796 of the family's 1533-position model. The record is from RNAcentral.